ACGGGCGAGUAACGCGUGAGCAACCUGUCCUUCAGAGGGGGACAACGGCUGGAAACGGCCGCUAAUACCGCAUGACAUAUCCGGAUGGCAUCGUCUGGAUAUCAAAGGAGAAAUCCGCUGAAGGGUGGGCUCGCGUCCGAUUAGCUAGUUGGUGAGGUAACGGCCCACCAAGGCAACGAUCGGUAGCCGGACUGAGAGGUUGAACGGCCACAUUGGGACUGAGACACGGCCCAGACUCCUACGGGAGGCAGCAUG
Molecule: ribosomal RNA, 255 nt
Filed under: uncultured bacterium
Lineage: Bacteria
Description: partial 16S ribosomal RNA
Rfam family: Bacterial small subunit ribosomal RNA
Source: RNAcentral